This 521-nucleotide ribosomal RNA is filed under the name Apophysomyces variabilis. RNAcentral describes it as "eukaryotic LSU rRNA". It matches the Rfam family "Eukaryotic large subunit ribosomal RNA", at positions 135 to 623 of the family's 3401-position model. The record is from RNAcentral. Lineage: Eukaryota; Fungi; Mucoromycota; Mucoromycetes; Mucorales; Mucoraceae.
AGAUCGAAUUGUAAACUUUAGAGUCGUUGUCCAGACCAGCCGAGUAAAUAAGUUCCUUGGAAUAGGACAUCAUGGAGGGUGAGAAUCCCGUCUUUGGCUUGAGCAUUGGUCUUUUGUGAUGCGACUUCAACGAGUCAGGUUGUUUGGGAAUGCAGCCUUAAUUGGGUGGUAAAUCUCACCUAAAGCUAAAUAUUGGCGAGAGACCGAUAGCGCACAAGUACCGUGAGGGAAAGAUGAAAAGAACUUUGAAAAGAGAGUUAAACAGUAUGUGAAAUUGCUAAAAGGGAACCGUUUGAAGUCAGUCUGGCUGGUCUGCAAUCAGCUUCAACUUUGGUUGGAGUGCACUUGUAGGCCAUUUUGCCUGCCAACAACAGUUUGUUCUGCAGCAAAAAGGUGUUGAGAAUGUAGCUUUCUCUUUGGAGGAAGUGUUAUAGCUCUUCGCGAAAUACUGUGGUUCAGACUGAGGCUUGCAGUGAAUGCUAUUUUGGCUUUGGGGAUGGAUUGCUCAGUGCUUUGCUUGG